This 723-nucleotide ribosomal RNA is filed under the name uncultured bacterium. Its description in RNAcentral is "bacterial SSU rRNA". It matches the Rfam family "Bacterial small subunit ribosomal RNA", at positions 524 to 1246 of the family's 1533-position model. The record is from RNAcentral.
UACGGAGGGUGCAAGCGUUACUCGGAAUCACUGGGCGUAAAGCGCGCGCAGGCGGCCUUUUAAGUUGGAUGUGAAAGCCUAUGGCUCAACCAUAGAACUGCAUCCAAAACUAUUAGGCUAGAGUCUGGGAGGGGAAGAUGGAAUUAGUUGUGUAGGGGUAAAAUCCGUAGAGAUAACUAGGAAUACCAAAAGCGAAGGCGAUCUUCUGGAACAGUACUGACGCUGAGGCGCGAAAGCGUGGGGAGCAAACAGGAUUAGAUACCCUGGUAGUCCACGCCCUAAACGAUGAAUGUUAGUCGUCGGAGGCCUAGUGUCUUCGGUGAUGCAGCUAACGCAUUAGACAUUCCGCCUGGGGAGUACGGUCGCAAGAUUAAAACUCAAAGGAAUAGACGGGGACCCGCACAAGUGGUGGAGCAUGUGGUUUAAUUCGAAGAUACGCGAAGAACCUUACCUAGCCUUGACAUUGAGAGAACCUGCCAGAGAUGGCGGGGUGCCCUUCGGGGAGCUCGAAAACAGGUGCUGCACGGCUGUCGUCAGCUCGUGUCGUGAGAUGUUGGGUUAAGUCCCGCAACGAGCGCAACCCUCGUCCUUAGUUGCCAGCAGUUCGGCUGGGCACUCUAAGGAGACUGCCUUCGUAAGGAGGAGGAAGGUGAGGACGACGUCAAGUCAUCAUGGCCCUUAUGGCUAGGGCUACACACGUGCUACAAUGGGGCGUACAGAGUG